Long non-coding RNA from Megalobrama amblycephala (Wuchang bream), 525 nucleotides. RefSeq lists it as uncharacterized. The record is from RefSeq and is a predicted model, not a curated record. Lineage: Eukaryota; Metazoa; Chordata; Actinopteri; Cypriniformes; Xenocyprididae. The transcript has 2 exons.
CACAAAAUGAUGAAAGGGAGAUUGAAAGAAAGCAAAAGAAAGAUAACAGGAGAGAGAAAAAACAGCAUGAAACUUUGGUCGGCUGGCAGUAGCAUUCCUUCAGACUGUUUGUCGCUGCGACUGGCAAUAAUUACAGACAGAAAUGUGAGGAUACCUGAAGCAAGGAAUGGAUCUCUCUCCGCAAUUUCUGAAAAGAUCACCUCCACCUCACCGUCCUCAGGGAAUCUUGGAUCUUGAAUGGAGACAAAAGCAAAUGAUGACUGAAAGGAUUGAAAGGGAUGGAAAAAACUACGCCACACAGCAAUGUGGGAACAUCAACACACAUGAGUUCAAUGAUAGUUGAUGUAUAUGUGACUCGUAAGCAUACUUGCCACAACCAUGUGACUGUUUUCGCUUCUGUCCAUCCACAUUACAGAUGUCUUGAUUGUGUAAGGUUUCCCAUUGAGUAAGGACCGGAAUUACAGAAGUGUUUGUGUAAAGAGUUAAGCUGUCUGACUCUUUCUCAGAUCUGCUUGGGCCACCAUA